AUAGCUGGUGAAGAAAGGGCCGGGCAAGACCGGUGCCAGCCGCCGCGGUAAUACCGGCGGCUCGAGUGGUGGCCACUAUUACUGGGCUUAAAGCGUCCGUAGCUUGAUUGUUAAGUCUCUUGGGAAAUCCACCGGCUCAACCGAUGGGCGUUCAGGAGAAACUGGCAAUCUAGGGACCGGGAGAGGUGAGAGGUACUCCAGGGGUAGGAGUGAAAUCCUGUAAUCCUUGGGGGACCACCUGUGGCGAAGGCGUCUCACUAGAACGGCUCCGACAGUGAGGGACGAAAGCUGGGGGAGCAAACCGGAUUAGAUACCCGGGUAGUCCCAGCUGUAAACGAUGCGCGUUAGGUGUAUCGGUGACCACGAGUCAUCGAGGUGCCGAAGGGAAACCGUGAAACGUGC
Molecule: ribosomal RNA, 402 nt
Filed under: uncultured archaeon
Lineage: Archaea
Description: bacterial SSU rRNA
Rfam family: Archaeal small subunit ribosomal RNA
Source: RNAcentral